AUCAAGAGAAAUUAUAGAUAACAUAUCGGUGCUCAUCGGCCAUUGGACAUAAACAUUACACUCAAGUGGUUUCGAAGGAAUCAAUGACAGUGGCUGUGUGUUCCCAAAUCUGGGUUUAAGGGGCUCUUUUCCCAGUUUAAAAUGAUAAACAUUCAACAUUGGCCAUGCUGUCAAUGAAGCAAGAUUUGUGCCGAGGUCAAAACAACUGUUGACUUGGAAGACCGCCGCGCCACCUUCCUGCACAACAAUGAGCAGAUACCUACAUGGGUGAUUGAACAAUGAACUGAGGUCCAUACUCCAGUCCAGUUGGUGGUGGUAAUGCACCUUAAAGUUGGUUGCCGACAUAUAAAGUCCAAAGAAAGAAGACUGAAAGAGCCUACACCGGACGACGCUGGGCCAAUUGUGCGCCGCCAUAUGGGACUCCCAAUCACGGCCGGAUGUGAUGCAGGCUGAAUUCGAAGCAGGGACACGUCUUGCACUGAGAUGCAGUGCCUUAGACCACUGGGAGAAACCCUGUGAGACCUGGUGACUGGGGAGCACUGCAGAGUGGAGGAGCACAAAACGGUGAACUACUGGACCAUAAUGUAACUUGGAACUGUUCCAAAUGCCCUCUUUCUACACAUUAUUGACACAUGUGUAUGGCAUCUUUGCAAUUGACCCUACAAUUCCAGUGAAUGGUGAGGAUGUGAAGAAGCACUUCUGCUUGGCACAGCAGCUUUGGGUUGUUCACCAAAGCGCCAAAGAGCAAAGCUCUCCUAUGAGCCUUGAAGAAAUGACCUGUUUGUGAAGAGAACCUGGACAGAUUGACUCUGAUCUGGGAGACAUGCCCUACUCUGGAUACGUUGCAGCAUUCUCUGCAAACCAACUGAAUAUUGAUGCCUUCAUGGAGGACAAGGAGCCGUGCUUUAAUGUCUCCCAAAUGGUCUGCUGAAAAGUUGCUGUAUUUCUAGAGCCCGUCUGCCAUCAACAACAUCCCUGCAGUCGUUGUACGAUCAGAAGACGCUCUAUGGAUACAGUUUGUUAGUCAGACAUGCUAUUUAGUGAGUCACAACUGUGGUGCUAUUUUGUCGGUUUACAGUUGAGGAAACUUUGCAGCCUCGUAUGCACUUGGCAGAUUGACACUGGAGGAGAAACCAUGUGAGCCAACAGAAUAUAAUGGAUUUGGAGGUGAAUACUUAAAAUACUUAUUUCAGGUGAUCAUGAAAUCACCCAUGAAAGGAAGUUUCCUCCGCUGUUUGGAGGGCAGUGUAGCCUGUGUCACCUAUGGCAGCUGUAGACAUCCUAGCGCCUGGACUAAAAUACAGUCAUUCUUGGCCCAGUCUUAAAAAAAAUUAAUCAGCCAAAUCAAAUAUUGUUUAUACUUGAAUCUAUAUUUUGUCAUUUACAGCACUGUUCACAUGAAUAAAUAGUUUAUUCAUUCUA
This is a non-coding RNA of Oncorhynchus mykiss (rainbow trout), 1422 nucleotides long. The record is from RefSeq and is a predicted model, not a curated record. Lineage: Eukaryota; Metazoa; Chordata; Actinopteri; Salmoniformes; Salmonidae.